CUUUCCAAGUUCUUCAGUAAUGGGUGCUUCUUCAGCUUGCAUGGUUGUUGAGGGACCUAGAAUGCUUUUCAGAGUCUCAAAGACCUCCUCCUCUAGCCUCCCAGCGUCAAUCUGCAAAACUAGCCCUUUUCUUUUGUAAUAAUGAACCACGGGAAGAGUAUGCUCCUGAAAAUAUCUAAACCUCUUCCUUACAGACUCAGAAUUGUCGUCAACUCUUCCCUGAUUCCUGCUUAAGAUUCUCCUUUCCCUCUCUUCUUCCGAACACUCAAAGAACAGAACAAGUUCUGGCUCUGUUUUGGUAGCAGAUUCAAAAGCUGCUCUAAUCUCCUCGUCACGAGGGAAACCAUCAAGAAUAAAUUUAUCAUUUCCACUUUCUUCAAUUGCUUUCUGAAGAAUCUCCAUUGUUAUGUCUGGAGGCACACUCUUGCCCUCCUUGAUCAUGGCUUCAAUCAUAGGCCCAUUUACAGGGUCGCUUUUAAUGGUCUGGCGAAGUAGGUCUCCACUGCUGAGAUGAGUAUAGCCGACUUCUUUAGCGAUCUUAGCACACUGGGUGCUCUUUCCCCCACCAGGGCCACCUAAAACAAAUACAACUACAAGCUUUUUCUCUGUUACAGUCUCCUUGGCUGUCUCCUCAGGCACAGCCUCUUUUGUUUCUUUCGCACAAACACUUUCCACUGUUUUGUUCUCAGACAAAAUCUCAUCGAAUGUCUCUUUCUCAGAGAACUCCAAUUCUGUUGUUGUAUUUUCAGACACAAAUUCAUUAUUUGUUGUCUUGUCCACACUCACAGUCUCAAUGGCAUGUUCUCCAAUCACCAUUUCACUUGUUUCCUCCUUCAUAUCACCCAUGGCUGCCGAUCAAAUUCCGAUCAA
RNAcentral lists this unclassified non-coding RNA (870 nucleotides) under Hevea brasiliensis (rubber tree). Lineage: Eukaryota; Viridiplantae; Streptophyta; Magnoliopsida; Malpighiales; Euphorbiaceae. The record is from RNAcentral.